GGCUCCGAAACGUCCGUCGGCAAAACGUCCGCACACGGGGUAAACCAUAGUAUACUUGAUUAAAUUAAACACUAAAUCUCACUUUGUUCUUGUCUAUACAGAAAUAGCACUUAGUCUGGGAUUAGACAUAUUAGGCAUUACUUCUCAAGAUUGCUAUGCUAGUCAAGCAUCAUACUUAAACUGCCUUACUUAAAGUCACCUUCGUGCAAGUUAAACAAUGUAAAUAGAAGACUACAUCUUUCUCUUAGCAGGAUUCUUCAAUCUUCUCCCCUUUGCCCUGUGAGAGGAAGUGUCCAGGCAUUUUUGACAUCACUUAAGUCCAAAUCAAAACAUUUUAUGAACAGUUUAUUAUUUAACAAAAGAAUACUCAAAAGGAAAUAAAACUAUUUUUCUUAAAUAUUUGUUACAAGGAUCAUAAAGUGCUCAAAGUUACUGUAUAUGCACAAUAGAUGAUGACAGAAUCUCCUGGGUUAAAUACUGAUACAAUAUUAAAAUGCUAAAUUUUAUCAGGAACGAAAUCAAAUAUCUGCAAAAAAAAUCUUUUUUAGUAUAGCCACAUGUGAGUGGUGCCUUGACAGGCUAGAAGAUCAUAAUUCAUAUAAUUGCUUUACAAACAUAAGAGAACACCUUGUCAUAUCUCACAUCCUAUUUUUACUUAAUAAAUAAAUUGUAACACAAUAAUGCAGUUUUAUUUUUUUAAGUGUAGGGUAAAUUGUUUAUGUGUCAUGGUCUGUGCAGGGUCAGCAGGCUUUGUUACCGUUUCGUACAGAGGCAGAUAUUCUCCCCUGCAGUAUAUUUACUGGAGGCUCAGAUAUUGCCUCAUUUUUCUCGUAGCUAAAUGCCUGCAAUCAUUUUCUCCCAGACCCUAAGUGUAUAUUCAUUUCUAUUACCAGCUUGGCCUUCUUUAUCUGUUGCUCUAUAGCAGUGUACAUUUUUUUUCCUCUGAAACAUUUGUGUACAGCAGCUGCAUUGAAAAUUAAAACAAAACACAUGGGUUGUUUUAGUGUGAUAUUUAAAAGGAGUUAACUAGUUUACUGCUAACCACCUAGUCAUUACCUCUGUAUUUAUGAUGCUCUCCUUCUUUAAUACUAUUUUUUUCAAUGCACAUCGCAAUUUUUUUUUUAAGUUCUAAUCAUAAUUUCACAAUUUGAAAUUUUUAAAUGUGUAAAAAUUAUGUCUAUCAUUAUCCUAUGUUUGUGUUUGUUUUAAUCAUUGCUUUAUUCAGUAUGGUGAGAGCUCUAACUGGAUCCAACAAGAAUUGUCAAAGCAAGUCAUAAUCAAAUUAUUUUUUUCCCUUCUUUUUGCAGCAUACUAGUUUUAUUUCAGUCUGUAAGAUCUUUAAAUAUGUUUGAACACAAAAUUAUAGUGAGUGUGCAUCUUUGAAACACCCUGUUUUGUAAUGUUUUUUUUUCCCUUGAGCUUACUAUAAAGUGGUAAGUUUAGAUUAGCACAAAGCUCUCAUUCCAUACAAAACUAUACAUCAGCAGCAAUUUUCAUAGAUUUCUAUUUUUUUUAAAUGUGCAUUGAAUGCAUAAGAAAAUAAUACUUUGUACUUUUUAUAUCUUGUAAUAUUGAUCAUAAGCUUUUAAAUUAUCAUAUUGGCCAAUUUUUAUUUGUGAAAUUCCAUAGUUUUCAUAGCCAAAUUUCACCAUGUUUGCUUCUUGGGUUAAUUAUUUUUUUAUUAUUUGCAGACAUUUAUUUUUUCUUGCUGUUUUGAAUAAUAUAUUCACAGAUAGAAGAGUCCUUUGAAAAAUCGAUGAUUUUGCUGCAUUAUAUGAAUGUAUCAUUUGUAAACUAGAUGACCAAUGCUAACAGCUGAGUAUCAAUAAUAUUUUUUUAGAAGACCAUCAGUGCUCACACACUUCUAUGCCUGUCUCACUUUCAGAGGUGCACUUGAGAAAACAAAUGCAAUUGCUCACAGUGAUUCCUAGUCACGACCUAGAGUCUAAGAAACUUUAAAGUGCUUGUAUGUAUUUGGCUGUUUGAACUGUCUUUUUUGUAAGCAGUGUCCUGUAAAGUGGGAGAUUCACCAGCGAAUGGCUUUUGUUGCACAUGUGCUGCUGCUUUGCUUCAUGUGAUCGCCUAUGCAUACAUUCAUAUGUGCAAGUGCACAGACAUGAGAAGUUUCUUUCUCCCAUUGAGCUGAUUGCAGCUAUAGUCAGCAUUUUCCUGAACAUGCUGAAGAUAGCUAGCUGUGCACUUCUGACUGUCCCAUUUAUACAUAUAUCCUCUUAAAAGCAUUUAUCUUUAGUUAAGUGGUGGAUUUGUUUUAUUAGAAAAAAGGGUGGAAGAAAACAAUGUCACCAAAGUAAAUUAUGAUCAGCUUUCUUUCUUUUUCCUUUUUUAUUUUAGAGAGUUUGUGAUAGCUCAUAUUCAAAACAUGAUGAGAUAGUUUAGAAUUUGAGCUAAUGCAUUUUAAAGGUUAUUCAUAAUGCACACAUUUUGUGUGUGUGUGCUCGCGCUCUCGUUUGGUGCUAAAAGUAAGCCUUACAUAAGAAGAAUUAUGGGGAUAUCAUCAAAAGGGUUUCCCCACUGCUGCAUUUGUCUAAGCUUCACUUUGGGAUUGUAGUAAUUUACCAUCACUCUCACAAAGUGCAAAUGUCACGUUUGUAGUUCUCUCACAAGAGUGCUACUGUGUGGUCUCAAGGCCAACAUGGAUUUCCUGGUUGUGAAUGAACAAACUAACCUUUAUGCAUAUGGAAUAUCUGUGCAUUUGACUGACAUGCUCACAAUUAUUCUAGCUCAUAAUAUUGUCUCUUGAAUAUGUUACAGUGGGAUUACAGUAAGAUUAUUUUUUUCUAAAAAUUUUGGAUGCUAAAAAGUUGUUUCAUACAUUUUGUUGGAAUUGCUUUUGGUAGGAGUCUGAGUUGUGCUACAAAUGUUUAUUCUGGUAACAUAUGAUUGUCAUUGGUAAAGAUAUAGGUAUUCCAUCACAGAUAAAAACUUAUACCUGUGGCUUGUCUUUGAAGUUAUGAUUCCUAAUCUCUUGGAUACAAUGAACUUCAUGCUGCAGCCUCAGUCUGUGUUAACUGUCUCUGACCAGUCAUGUAUCACAUCACAUUAUCAAUGCCCUUUGAUAUGGUAGUGGUCUAAAUUGCACAGUAAAUACCCUAGUACAAAUAUGUUAGUGAUUCUUUGCUCUUUAUCCUUGGAAUGACAACAUUAUAAAGAACCAAAUCUGAUUUCCACAGUCAGCAUAAACAUGUGAUCUUUCAGCUUUUCUAUCAAAGUUGGGGUAUGUUUGCAAUGCAAUUGUCAUCUUGCCAUGGAUUUAAUGCUGGUCACCUCUGCUCACAUUCCCUUUCUGCCGUAAUUAUUUUUCUAUUCUACAAGUCUAGAUUGCAGUUUAAUGAGCAUCAGAAAAUGGUGGUGAAAAUACAUUUCAUAACUUUGGGUUUAAUUUUCUCAUGAUCUAAAGGAACCCUUUGUCAAUUUUUCUCUUUCCUUAUCAACUUAAAUUUAACCAUGAUAUAUGACUGCACAUUACUGAAGGUUGUUUUGGAGAUGGAUGUUUGUGUUGGUUAUAUUAAACUGUGUGUUGUAGUACUAAAUUGUAUAAAACAGCAUUAACUGUAUUUUAGCAUUACACAAGAGAUCAAGAUAUUGUUGUAAGAGAGACAAAACAUUAGCUUGAAGAUGUGCUGCAAUGAGCUGCAUGAAAGGUGUGGAGGUCUUUCACUAGCAAGAAAGCUUAUGAAGUAUUGGUACUUUUGCAUCUUGCUUUUUUAGGUGACUAAAGGAGUUUAAUAAAGAGAUAUAAUACUUUAUUAAUUUGAUGAAAUAGUAUUUUGUGAUUAUUUCUUUUCCCCUUAUGAAAAGUUUCAAAAUUUUGGCUUGGACCAUCUCUUGAUCUCAUUUAAAUGCUUUUAUUUCUGUGAGCAAAAUAAACCAGAUGUCUGGUCUAGUGAGAAUUCAUUUACUUUGUAUAUCUUUCUCUCCUAAUGCUUGUACUUUUUCUACUUUACAUGAGGAACUUAAUUGCAGGAAGCGUUCAGUAUUUUCAGGUGUUUAUUUUUAAGAAUAACCUCAAAAGUAAAUGUGUUAAUUGAAGAUAUAAUGAAACAAGAAAACAUUAAGGCUGGAAAGAGUUCGUGUUAUAUUAUUUCUUACAUAUUAAAAAAAGCAUGCAAAUGCAAAAAUAAACUUAUGCAAUAAAUAUUGAUGUCUUUUUAUGACAUUGUAACGGAGUAGCAUAUUUUCAAAGACCUCGGGGAAAAUUUUUUGAGAUGAGAUGCAGAUUAUUGCUUACUCUGGUUUUAUUUAAUUUAUUGCUGCUUGACAGUGACUAAAAAAAUAUUGUGCCUCCUGUCAUAUCAUUCCAGUCUCUACUGUUGUCUCUGAGUUGUGCUGUAGAGCACAUUUUUUGUUUGUUUGUUUUUUUGUGUUUUUUUUGUUUUGUUUUGUUUUGAUGAUGAUGAUGAUGAUGAUGAUAUGGCACAUUAUCUUUUGCCUUAGGAUAUAAUGCAAAUUAACAACUUUUUUCUUGAGCUCAAUGGUCACAACUAAUGUCACUGACACAUCAGAUGCAUUACGUUUUUUGUGUAUGUGUUAAACCUUUCAAAAGCAAUUCCAAAAUUUCAAAGUGUUUUUUAGGACUGUGCCAUACUAACAAUGAAUCAGGGCAUGCUGAUGCUUCACCUCAAUGUAUUUUUGGAGACAAGUUCUUCAUGCUCAUGCAUGCUGGUUUGCUUAUGACUAUGCAUACUAGAACACCUAUUGGAAGGUAUUAAAACAUUCUGCCAUUUUUUAAAACAUAAUACUUCGGUAGUAGACAUCAUUUAUUUGUAUGCAUUACUUUGUAUUGAAGAUGACACUUUAUACUGUGCCACUUUGUAUUGCAUCAGCUGGGAUACACCUUUUUAUUAUUACUAUUGUUUUUAAUUAGACAAAGAUGGCCUUGAGAACUUGUUUCAGUCACAGGUGAACUGAAAUGUCUUAGUAUGUGCUUUCACUGUUUUGACACAAUACUACUGUGAUUUAAGUGUUUAUGAAGUUGUGUGUGCUGCUGUGUAAAAAUGUUGCAGUUACAAUGCUUGUUCUCCUGAUAUUACAGAUUCAUACACUUGUUGAUAAGUGAAGCCACUUUUUCCCUUUGUUUCUUAUGCUCCUUACCAUAAAAGUAGUCCACUAAAUAGUACACUAACAAAAACUAUAUCAGAUAAACCGCAUAGAUACUUGUGAAGGAAAUUAACUGAAUUGUUUAUGUUUUAGUGCUUUUUUUUUUUUUUUGAAGGGUUGAAUUCUACUUUGGAUUAUUUAGUUUUAACACUGAAAAAUUUUCAAAACCAUGUAAUUUUGUCCUUUUUUUUUUGAAAGACCUUUUGAACUGGAUAACUCUGGGACCAGGGUUACUUGGGACCUCUGAUAAAGAUUGUUUUUCCUUUUCUCUUUGUGCAGAUAUGUGGUAGCAGUUAGCUUUUUCCCCUUUGUCACAGAAACAACAUUUGUUCUUUUCUUAAUCAUCCUAAAAUGAGAACUAAUGUAUGCUAUAUUACACCUCAUUUGAGGUGUCUUGAUACCAUUGUGUGUAUUUCUAUUUGACAGUGCAAAUUUAUGCUGCUGAUGUGACUGUUAAAAAGUGUGAUAGUUCUUUUGAAAUUUAAAGUUGAAAGAGUCACCCUUUGCUUUUGAAUUUACUGAAACCUACUGAUAUUUAUUCUUUCAUAUGUUUAGAAAACAUUUGUUAACAACCAGUUACUCUAUAUCUGAAAUAAAUCAAACAGGGGAUGAAGUAUCCAUUUGCUUGCAUCCUAAAUUGCAUUCAACCUUUACUGGUUUCUAGGAAACAAAAAUUAUUACCAUUUGUGUAGACCAUGCACGAAGAUGUUUGUUGGGAAUACAAUGAAAAGUGUGAACUACUUUGUCAAAUUUAUGCUAAUCAUUUGUCAACAUAAUACAUAAGCUUAACAUCCAUUUUUCUUUUGUCGCACAAAAGUGCAUGUACAGUAAAACCAAAGUACUCAUUCUUUCAUAAUACAGUUCUGCACCAUGUUACUUCAUUGUUUUAUAAAUAUGUGGUGACAGAUUUCGUUUUGGGGUUAUCUACAGAUCUUUGGAGGUCAGUAAGCAUUGUUUAGUGAGCAUUUCUGAAAAUGAAGCAGAAAAGUUAACCAUUUCACAAAGUUUCUUUUCAGGAUAUUUUUUUCCUGUCAAGUUUUCAAAAUGGUUAAUUUUUUUAAACUGUUAUCUUAUUAGUGAAUUGACAUAGCAUGGCAUGUUUGUGCGUGUGUGAAAUGUUGAAAUCACCUCCACACAAGUCACAUUAAUACCAGUUAUUUUGAGGGGCUUAAAGCAUAGCGAUUUUCUUUCUCUCCCCCUUCCCCAGCUUCCUUCCCUGACAGGCAUGUAUUUUUUAAAAAUGGCUCUGGUUUGUUUGUUUUUUUUUUUUUAAUGAAUGGCUACAUAGUGAUGACAAAGAUGAAAUCUGUAAACAUAAUUACUUAAUAUUCUUAGUAUAUAAUCAUUAUUAAUUGAUAGGAACAAUGCUGUCUCAGUGUUUAUUUUUAAAUUGAUGCCUCCAAAAUAAAAAGUAAACACUAAUGCUACAGUAUUAAUCUUUCACAGAUCCAGUUAAUUGGUUGAUAUAAAUAUUGCACAGAGGAAAGUGUCUGUAUGCAAUUCCUUGCAAGUGAUAAAAAUGCAAGAAAGAAAUUAAUUUUUCACUAUGGUUAACAGUAGAUAUGAAGCCUGCUUAUGCCGUAGUAUUAUAUUUCACAGGAAUUGUAUUAUCGUCUAAGCUUUGCUUUUUCAACAGUUGAUUUGUGUGUGUGUGAAAAACUCUUAUUGCGGAUAUCUUUCUAUUAAAGUGGCUCUAUGGGAAAUGGAAUUUAUGAGUGGAGACAGUUUUAUACUCUUAAGGGAUGGUGUUACAGGCUAACUGAACUCUGUGAUCAAGACUAACAAACGAGCUGUUAUUUUUUUCUUUGCAUUAUUCUAUCACAUGUAAAUGCAUUGCAAGAUGUUGAAAUAUUACAAGGCCAUGCCAAGAUGUAUAUAUCUGAUGACAAAUUCACACAAAACAUGGAAUAGACAAUGACUGUAUUUAUAGUUAAUAUACAUGCUUAUGUAAAAAUAGAUUGUAAUAAAAUACUGUUUGUAUCUUGUAUCUGUCUUGUGUUUUCAUUUAUAAUACAAGCGUUUGUGUGAAAUGACAUUUACACUGUAUAGCGGUUGUAUAAUUCUGUGUCAUGACUCACAUAACCAUUAAAAACCCUUUUAAUUAUUGUAUAAUCAUCAACGGCACACGCUGAAAACUAAUUUGACCACAGCGACACACAACCGUACAACCCCUAGAUAAUGUCUAUGAGCUUAGGCGGAAUACCACAGUGGAUCAUCAACUUCCAGAUGAGUUCCUGCCUACACUGUUAAUAAAAGGUAUUCUCAAAAUCAACAAAAGUUAUCUAAAGGAAGCACUGCCAUUCGAUAGACUGCUCAAUGAUGAUACUGAGGGUGGAAAUGUACGUGGUCAGUGCAUUACCUAUCCUGGCGAAACCGCGUGCUUGUUCCGGCUCAGUCUCUUGUCUAAUGCCUCAUUUAAUCUAUCUAGUAUUACCCUUGAUCAGGGCUAGGAAUGGUUAGCAGCAUGAUCGCCAGCCAAUUGAUUAACUGGGAGAUGUGUCCUUUCUUUGGUAAUUUGACCAGGUGACCUGUACAAGACAUGUACAUGUUCUUAGAUCUCGUGCAGAUAGAGGCUGUAAAAUCGUUACUUUGUUUCUGGGUCUGCUUUUAGUGUUUCUGGGAGUAUGCCAUCUUGUCCUGCUGCUUUGCAGCUUUCAUGCUUUUGAUAUCCUUGAUUUUUUUUUUUUUUUUUUUGGGGGGGGGGGGAGCUGGCGUUGACGUGGAGUUGUUCAUUUGCUGGUGGCAUGUCACGUAAAGAUGGUGGAUGAGGUCGGUUCAGAAUCGCUUCGAAGUACUCCAUCCAGGGGUCUCUUUGUUGAAAUACACGUCCUUAUGGUCUUGCCGUCUAUGUCUUUCACCGGCUUGUUAGGUUAAUGUUCCUGCCUGACAGAGUUUAUGUUAUGUACUGAGAAUUGUGAUAGUUUUUCAAAGAAUCACACGCAUCCAUUAUAUAUUAAUGUACUUCCACGAUUCGAAUCAUUGAAUAGUCCUUAAGUUGUUUCUCGCCCCAACACGUGAGUACAAAAAUGAAGAUAUUGAUUUGGAACAGGAAAGCGGGGAUAGGGUGAAACCCAUCUCUACUGAACAGUAUAUAGCGAUCAGCUUUCAAUUCAAAGAGAACCCAAGCUUUAGCCAGGCUGAAUCCACGUACCAUGUGCACAGACUUUUACACUCUCUCUAUGCUAGUCUGUGGGACUGACGUUAUAUCAGUGCAGUUCUUAUUUAGUCACAUUUUCAAAUAUCCGCACAGAGUGGCUUGAGACUGCGAUGGCAGCAGAUUUGAACUAUUGAUCGACAGCAAGAAUCAGACAUUGGGUGGCAGACAUUGUUUUCGUUUCGCAAAAUGGAUGUUACUCAUGGUCUUAUAUCAAGACUAGUAAAAAGCAAGUCGACUGAGCGUGUUCUCGCUCCGAUUGCCUCUCAGGUAUCCUUGCUUAUGAUACUGAGUGAUGUGGGUAUUCAAGAAGAGAGCGAGAACGAAGUACCAUCUCUUAGUAUGAGCUUGUGUCUGGAAAAACUGAUUCGAGCCAUCAAUGGAUUUAUGGCUGUUGGCGAGGACCAGAUUCGUGGUUCUUCUGAUAUGGUUUUCAAGAACAAAAUGAGUGGGGCAUGUGAAACACUGGAGCUAGCCAAGAGCCAGCUGUUUGUGGCUGGUCAACAGGUUAGUUCCAUGCCAAGCAGCUCUAGUGCUCAUUCUGUGCUAGUCAGGACAGCAAAGGAUCUACUGCAGGCUGUUCUUAGGGUUCUAUUAGUUGCUGAUGAUGUAGAAGUCAGAAGAAAUGUCAAGGCUAUAGGAGUUGUGGAGGAAAAACUCAAGAAAGUUAGCAAUGUCAGACGUGCUCAAGAUCUGGUCCCUGCUUUUAAGGAGUUAGCUGAAGCAAUACUAUACAUGACCAUGUUGGUAAGUCGACGCCAAAAAGACCUGGUGAGCAGGGCUCAGGGUGAACAGCUAGUUGUGGGAAUGAGCAUGUUGCGUAAAGGAGUCUCUAGCCUUGGCAUGGCUGUUCAGACCUUCCUAAAGUAUCCACAUAAUCCACAAGCUUUGGCAAGUAAAGAUCAAGUUAUUACUCAGACAUUGACCACACUGGCUGAUAUGCGAGAAGUUCUGGAAAGUGGUCCUCCUUCUGACAUGGACAGUGAGGAAACUGGACAUUUUGUGGAACAUAUUGACAAGGUUCUGGAUGGACUUUCAGAGGCCAAUCGAUUUGACCUAAACCCUGAUACAGAGGUGUGGGUCGCAUCAAUUGUACGUCAUGCAAUGGGGGUUGCAUUGCUUUGUCAGGGCACGUAUCACCACCUCAUUACUCACACAUGUCAACGGAUACUGCAAUCCAAGUUUCGCCUGUUUGAGCUGAAAGAAGCAAUGAAACAUGAUCCUAAUUUAGGGGAAAUCAGGUUUGACUACGAAAAUGUGUGUGAGAUGCUCCUGGAUGAGUUCUGCGAGGUGGAGAAGCAUGUCAACAUGGCUCUUCUUAACUUGAUAGUUGAUACUUGCUGCUUCACCUCUCAGCCUUUUGAACUUCUGGCCAAAGCGGCACUUCACCCACAACAGGAUGAGACUGCUAAUCUUCCAGAAUCUUCCCUGGCAAGGGACUUUAGCUUCCACAGUGAGAAAGUGUGCCAAGUAGCUACCAUGGCUGCAGCUAGUUCCAUGGACCCCAAAAAAGUUCGAGCUGUCAAAAUAGCUGUUUCUCGACUUGAGCAACUUGAUCCAGAAGUGAUCCCAGCUGUGAUGGCUGUGGCACAAUGCUCAACUGAUGUGGUAGCAGUGCAACAGCUGAAAAGGCUAGUACAGGAGUGGGGACAAGAGAUGGAGCUUCUAGUGCAGACCCUUGAUUCCAUGACUGACCCUGCUAUCUUCAUUAACGUCACAGAACAACGAAUUCGGCAAAGCAUCAACGUGAUUCGAGGGUGUUUGUCAGAGAGAGACAUUCCUGGCUUGAAAUACAGCUUGCGUAAGCUGCUUGCCCAUGCACGUCAUAUGAUUCAGGUGGCUACUCAAGUUGUGGACCAUCACUUUGAUCCUAUUUUUCGCAAUGGUUUGCUGGUGUUCAUACAGCGUAUGACACAAGCAAGAAGAGGCUUAAAGGAGGCGGGACAGGCCAUCUUGGAAGAUCUUACACAUCCUCGUUUGGCAGACACUCUGCAACGACGAAUGAACUUACUGGUAGAUACUACAUCUGACCUACGCCAGGGUCUUAAGGGAGACAAUCAUGUAGAUGUGCUCAACCCAGCCCGUGAAAAUGUUCGCAACAGACCUCACCAUGUCUCAAAGGUUGUUACUGGAAAGAAGAGAUCAGAGUCGGAUGUGCUUCCUGCAAGAAGCAAGGAACAUGCCAGUCAACCCAAACCACUCAAACCAGUCCAGGAGCCCAUGAUGAGCAAUGUGAACAAAGAAAGCAUGAUGUCAUCACAAGCAGCUAUUCCAGCAAUGUCUACAUCUUCCAUAGCUGCCCCAAGAACUUGUACAGCUUUACAUACAACUUCCACUGUUUUUCCUGCAGCUUCCACAGUUGUUCCUGCAACUUCCACUUCUGUUCCUACAGCUUCCAUAGUUGUUCCUGCAAAUUCCACUUCUGUUCCUGCAGCUUCCACAGUUGUUCCUGCAACUUCCACAGUUGUUCCUACAGCAUUCUCAGUUGUUCCUGCAACUUCCACAUUUGUCCCUACAGCAUUUACAUCCGUCACAAUGGCCAGCACCCCCACAUGCAUGGCUGCAGUGUUGAAUGGUGCGGUUGUGGCAAACCCUGACAAUAUAUAUUACACCAGUCAACCAACAUUACAGAAAACAGGCAACAAAGUAAAAGAUAUGGAUGCACAGUUGACUGUUUCAUCAUCAACAAAUGUCCUUACCAAGCAGCAGAAAGGGGAGGUGAGCAGACUUGUGCAGGUGUGUGGAAACGGUCUGGUGUCAGCAGCAGUUGCAGGUGAUGCAACAGCUUUAGCAGAAAGGAAUGGUGACAUGCUUGGAUGGACAGCUCAUUUGGUGGAGACUGCACUUUGUUUGUUAGACCAUUGUCAUCAUGUCAGUUGGCAAAGGGAAAUGCAAGAGCUGACUGUGACUCUGGACAGACUAGCUCCACAAGUGAUAGAAAUGGCCAGAUUUGUGCUGGCUGGAGACAUGGGGCAGUCUGAUGCUUUGAAGGAGCUAGUAGACAGCUGGAUGGAUGUAUGUAAUAGGUUACGGAUCGUAAUUGAUGUGGCGACAGGGGACUGGCUUGUGCUGAUGGAGCAGGUCAUACAGACUGUCUCAGCCAAAGAUCCCACCAGCCUUAAGCAUCUGCUUGGUCAAGUGGACAGCAACUUUCGUGAAAUGAAGCAGCUUUUAAGAAAAGCACAAAAGUUAGAGGGCUGCCAUGUGCCAGCUGGCGCACAGAUUAUCCAGUUUUUAAGCAACACUCAGUCUGAGCUAGAGAAUGUGACAGCCACUCUGAAGACCGCUGCAGACUGCAUGGCAACCUCCUCCACAUCAGCUGGUGACAAAAAUGCAAUCAUGAGGACUCAGUUAGUGCAGUGGGGCAGAGAGUGGUGUACCUUGAUGACCUGUGUUGUGGCUGAGUUUGACUACAUGGCUGACAUACUCAUUCAUACUGGCCAGUCCAUUCUGGGUAUCCCAGCCACUGUGGGCAUCAGCAGUCCAGUUUCUAGUUCCAGUCGUAUUUUCAGCAGCUGUGACAAUAAAGUUGCAGCAUUGAUUGAGACAGAGACCAUUCGCUUGAAGGACAUGCUAACAUGUCUUUCCAGCAGUGAUUCAGGUACAAGAAAACGCUGUGAAGAGCUGAAGGAGUCAUUAAGUGAGAUCAUGAAGGAGGUGACGGAGAUUGUGCAAAACCCUAUAGAUUCCAUCCUUCCCCAGGCACAGCUGUUUGCUCGACUAGAUGCAGGCAUGGCUCGAAGCCACUGGACAGAAAAAGCACUUGAAACUGAACAGCUAAUCCGCCGGUACUGCCUCAAGUUCUCUGCCCCUGUCAACAACCUCCUCAUUUUGGCCACAGCCACUUCCACUUCAGGCUAUUCAGCUGUCUUCUGAACUUCCCCAACGAGCCACUGUGCGACGCUGCCUUGAUGAUUUAAACAUUUUGCUUGCCAUGAUCACAGAGUCUGCAGCAUUGUGUGCUUCAGAAGCUGGUUCCAGGCCGAAAUCUAAAGAAACUGAGCUGUACAAAGCUGGGUUCAGUGGGGAGCCAAGGUAUACCAUCUCAUCAGUGUUCUUCGCAGCAUGAGUGAUAUUAAACCAGGGCUUGUUGAAG
Molecule: unclassified non-coding RNA, 12368 nt
Filed under: Pomacea canaliculata
Lineage: Eukaryota; Metazoa; Mollusca; Gastropoda; Architaenioglossa; Ampullariidae
Description: catenin alpha-1-like, transcript variant X6
Source: RNAcentral